This 76-nucleotide transfer RNA is filed under the name Pleomorphomonas carboxyditropha. RNAcentral's name for it is "tRNA-Lys". It matches the Rfam family "tRNA". From Rfam's summary of the family: Transfer RNA (tRNA) molecules are approximately 80 nucleotides in length. Their secondary structure includes four short double-helical elements and three loops (D, anti-codon, and T loops). Further hydrogen bonds mediate the characteristic L-shaped molecular structure. tRNAs have two regions of fundamental functional importance: the anti-codon, which is responsible for specific mRNA codon recognition, and the 3' end, to which the tRNAs corresponding amino acid is attached (by aminoacyl-tRNA synthetases). tRNAs cope with the degeneracy of the genetic code in two manners: having more than one tRNA (with a specific anti-codon) for a particular amino acid; and 'wobble' base-pairing, i.e. permitting non-standard base-pairing at the 3rd anti-codon position. Lineage: Bacteria; Pseudomonadati; Pseudomonadota; Alphaproteobacteria; Hyphomicrobiales; Pleomorphomonadaceae. The record is from RNAcentral. RNAcentral also lists the same sequence under 3 other names.
GGGCGCGUAGCUCAGUUGGUAGAGCAGCUGACUCUUAAUCAGCGGGUCUACGGUUCGAUCCCGUACGCGCCCACCA